GGUGACUCAGUGGUAGAGUGCUUGCCUAGCAUGCAUAAGGUGUUGGGUUCAAUUCUCAACACCA
Molecule: transfer RNA, 64 nt
Filed under: Dipodomys ordii (Ord's kangaroo rat)
Lineage: Eukaryota; Metazoa; Chordata; Mammalia; Rodentia; Heteromyidae
Rfam family: tRNA
About the family: Transfer RNA (tRNA) molecules are approximately 80 nucleotides in length. Their secondary structure includes four short double-helical elements and three loops (D, anti-codon, and T loops).
Source: Rfam by way of RNAcentral